CUACGGAGGGUGCGAGCGUUAAUCGGAAUUACUGGGCGUAAAGGGUCCGUAGGCGGUCUGCUUAGUCUGAUGUGAAAGCCCCGGGCUUAACCUGGGAAUGGCAUUGGAUACUGGCGGACUAGAGUCUGGUAGAGGGUGGUGGAAUUCCCGGUGUAGCGGUGAAAUGUGUAGAUAUCGGGAGGAACACCAGUGGCGAAGGCGGCCACCUGGACCAAGACUGACGCUGAGGGACGAAAGCGUGGGGAGCAAACAGGAUUAGAAACCCUAGUAGUCC
RNAcentral lists this ribosomal RNA (274 nucleotides) under uncultured bacterium. RNAcentral's name for it is "partial 16S ribosomal RNA". It matches the Rfam family "Bacterial small subunit ribosomal RNA", at positions 523 to 796 of the family's 1533-position model. The record is from RNAcentral.